This 305-nucleotide ribosomal RNA is filed under the name uncultured bacterium. RNAcentral's name for it is "bacterial SSU rRNA". It matches the Rfam family "Bacterial small subunit ribosomal RNA", at positions 337 to 659 of the family's 1533-position model. The record is from RNAcentral.
UCCUACGGGGCGCAGCAGUGGGGGAUAUUGCACAAUGGGGGGAACCCUGAUGCAGCGACGCCGCGUGGGUGAAGAAGCGCCUCGGCGCGUAAAGCCCUGUCAGCAGGGAAGAAAAUGACGGUACCUGGAGAAGAAGCCCCGGCUAACUACGUGCCAGCAGCCGCGGUAAUACGUAGGGGGCAAGCGUUAUCCGGAUUUACUGGGUGUAAAGGAGGCGCAGACGGCGAUGCAAGCCAGGAGUGAAAGCCCGGGGCCCAACCCCGGGACUGCUCUUGGAACUGCAUGGCUGGAGUACAGGAGGGGCG